Molecule: ribosomal RNA, 374 nt
Filed under: uncultured eukaryote
Lineage: Eukaryota
Description: SSU rRNA
Rfam family: Eukaryotic small subunit ribosomal RNA
Source: RNAcentral
AGCUCCAAUAGCGUAUAUUAAAGUUGUUGCAGUUAAAAGCUCGUAGUUGGAUUUCUGGCAGUGUGACUCCGGCCGGCAGAUCGUCGGGCCCGGAGCGCGCUACCAUCCUUCUGUCAACCUUGUGGAAAUUCACUUUUCUGCUUGGGGCUCAGAUAUUUUACCUUGAGAAAAUUAGAGUGUUUCAGGCAGGCUUUCGCCGGAAUACAUUAGCAUGGAAUAAUGGAAAAGGACUUCAUCCACUUCUGUUGGUCUGAGUGGCUGUAGUAAUGAUUAAUAGGGAUAGUUGGGGGCAUUAGUACUUGACUGUCAGAGGUGAAAUUCUCCGAUUUGUUAAAGACUAACUUAUGCGAAAGCAUUUGCCAAGGAUGUUUUCA